Molecule: ribosomal RNA, 497 nt
Filed under: uncultured bacterium
Lineage: Bacteria
Description: partial 16S ribosomal RNA
Rfam family: Bacterial small subunit ribosomal RNA
Source: RNAcentral
GAUGAACGCUGGCGGCGUGCCUAAUACAUGCAAGUCGAGCGAACAGACGAGGAGCUUUCUCUUCUGACGUUAGCGGCGGACGGGUGAGUAACACGUGGAUAACCUACCUAUAAGACUGGGAUAACUUCGGGGAACCGGAGCUAAUACCGGAUAAUAUAUUGAACCGCAUGGUUCAAGAGUGAAAGACGGUUUUGCUGACACUUAUAGAGGGAUCCGCGCCGCAUUGGCUAGUUGGUAAGGUAACGGCUUAACAAGGCAACGAUGCGUAGCCGACCUGAGAGGGUGAUCAGCCACACUGGAACUGAGACACGGUCCAGACUCCUACGGGAGGCAGCAGUAGGGAAUCUUCCGCAAUGGGCGAAAGCCUGACGGAGCAACGCCGCGUGAGUGAUGAAGGUCUUCGGAUCGUAAAACUCUGUUGUUAGGGAAGAAGAAAAGUGUAAGUAACUGUGCACGUCUUGACGGUACCUAAUCAGAAAGCCACGGCUAACUACGUG